RNAcentral lists this ribosomal RNA (398 nucleotides) under uncultured bacterium. RNAcentral describes it as "partial 16S ribosomal RNA". It matches the Rfam family "Bacterial small subunit ribosomal RNA", at positions 523 to 918 of the family's 1533-position model. The record is from RNAcentral.
AUACGUAGGGUGCGAGCGUUGUCCGGAAUUACUGGGCGUAAAGAGCUCGUAGGUGGUUUGUCGCGUCGUCUGUGAAAUUCCGGGGCUUAACUCCGGGCGUGCAGGCGAUACGGGCAUAACUUGAGUACUGUAGGGGAGACUGGAAUUCCUGGUGUAGCGGUGAAAUGCGCAGAUAUCAGGAGGAACACCGGUGGCGAAGGCGAGUCUCUGGGCGAUAACUGACGCUAAGGAGCAAGAGCAUGGGUGGGGAACAGACUGAGAUGCCCUGUAAGUCCAUGUCGUAAACGGUGGUCGCUAGGUGUAGGGGACUUCCACGACUUGUGUGCCUUAGCUAACGCAUUAAGCGCCCCGCCUGGGGAGUACGGCCUCAAGGCUGAAACUCAAAUGAAUUGGCGUGG